This 1589-nucleotide ribosomal RNA is filed under the name Klebsiella pneumoniae. RNAcentral describes it as "bacterial LSU rRNA". It matches the Rfam family "Bacterial large subunit ribosomal RNA", at positions 1271 to 2839 of the family's 2925-position model. Lineage: Bacteria; Pseudomonadati; Pseudomonadota; Gammaproteobacteria; Enterobacterales; Enterobacteriaceae. The record is from RNAcentral. RNAcentral also lists the same sequence under 1 other name.
UGCUGGAGGUAUCAGAAGUGCGAAUGCUGACAUAAGUAACGAUAAAGCGGGUGAAAAGCCCGCUCGCCGGAAGACCAAGGGUUCCUGUCCAACGUUAAUCGGGGCAGGGUGAGUCGACCCCUAAGGCGAGGCCGAAAGGCGUAGUCGAUGGGAAACAGGUUAAUAUUCCUGUACUUGGUGUUACUGCGAAGGGGGGACGGAGAAGGCUAUGUUAGCCGGGCGACGGUUGUCCCGGUUUAAGCAUGUAGGCUGGUUGUCCAGGCAAAUCCGGAUAAUCAAGGCUGAGGUGUGAUGACGAGGCACUACGGUGCUGAAGUAACAAAUGCCCUGCUUCCAGGAAAAGCCUCUAAGCAUCAGGUAACAUCAAAUCGUACCCCAAACCGACACAGGUGGUCAGGUAGAGAAUACCAAGGCGCUUGAGAGAACUCGGGUGAAGGAACUAGGCAAAAUGGUGCCGUAACUUCGGGAGAAGGCACGCUGGUGUGUAGGUGAAGUCCCUGCGGAUGGAGCUGAGACCAGUCGAAGAUACCAGCUGGCUGCAACUGUUUAUUAAAAACACAGCACUGUGCAAACACGAAAGUGGACGUAUACGGUGUGACGCCUGCCCGGUGCCGGAAGGUUAAUUGAUGGGGUUAUCCGUAAGGAGAAGCUCUUGAUCGAAGCCCCGGUAAACGGCGGCCGUAACUAUAACGGUCCUAAGGUAGCGAAAUUCCUUGUCGGGUAAGUUCCGACCUGCACGAAUGGCGUAAUGAUGGCCAGGCUGUCUCCACCCGAGACUCAGUGAAAUUGAACUCGCUGUGAAGAUGCAGUGUACCCGCGGCAAGACGGAAAGACCCCGUGAACCUUUACUAUAGCUUGACACUGAACAUUGAGCCUUGAUGUGUAGGAUAGGUGGGAGGCUUUGAAGCGUGGACGCCAGUCUGCGUGGAGCCAACCUUGAAAUACCACCCUUUAAUGUUUGAUGUUCUAACGUUGGCCCCUUACCGGGGUUGCGGACAGUGUCUGGUGGGUAGUUUGACUGGGGCGGUCUCCUCCCAAAGCGUAACGGAGGAGCACGAAGGUUAGCUAAUCCUGGUCGGACAUCAGGAGGUUAGUGCAAUGGCAUAAGCUAGCUUGACUGCGAGCGUGACGGCGCGAGCAGGUGCGAAAGCAGGUCAUAGUGAUCCGGUGGUUCUGAAUGGAAGGGCCAUCGCUCAACGGAUAAAAGGUACUCCGGGGAUAACAGGCUGAUACCGCCCAAGAGUUCAUAUCGACGGCGGUGUUUGGCACCUCGAUGUCGGCUCAUCACAUCCUGGGGCUGAAGUAGGUCCCAAGGGUAUGGCUGUUCGCCAUUUAAAGUGGUACGCGAGCUGGGUUUAGAACGUCGUGAGACAGUUCGGUCCCUAUCUGCCGUGGGCGCUGGAGAAUUGAGGGGGGCUGCUCCUAGUACGAGAGGACCGGAGUGGACGCAUCACUGGUGUUCGGGUUGUCAUGCCAAUGGCACUGCCCGGUAGCUAAAUGCGGAAGAGAUAAGUGCUGAAAGCAUCUAAGCACGAAACUUGCCCCGAGAUGAGUUCUCCCUGAGACUUUAAGUCUCCUGAAGGAACGUU